RNAcentral lists this ribosomal RNA (301 nucleotides) under uncultured bacterium. RNAcentral describes it as "partial 16S ribosomal RNA". It matches the Rfam family "Bacterial small subunit ribosomal RNA", at positions 509 to 809 of the family's 1533-position model. The record is from RNAcentral.
CAGUCGCCACGGUAAUACGUAGGUGGCAAGCGUUGUCCGGAAUUAUUGGGCGUAAAGGGCUCGCAGGCGGUUUCUUAAGUCUGAUGUGAAAGCCCCCGGCUCAACCGGGGAGGGUCAUUGGAAACUGGGAAACUUGAGUGCAGGAGAGGAGAGUGGAAUUCCACGUGUAGCGGUGAAAUGCGUAGAGAUGUGGAGGAACACCAGUGGCGAAGGCGACUCUCUGGUCUGUAACUGACGCUGAGGAGCGAAAGCGUGGGGAGCGAACAGGAUUAGAGACCCCUGUAGUCCCUGUCUCUUAUAA